CAGCUAGCUUAACCACCCAAUAAUUGAACAAUAUAAAUAAAACAAAAUAAGCCCAACACCAAAAAUUAAACCAUUCUUUUACCUGAGUAUGGGAGACAGAAAAGGUUCUACCCAAAGCAAUAGAGACAGUACCGCAAGGGAAAGCUGAAAGAGAAAUGAAACAACCCAUAUAAGCACAAAAAAGCAAAGAUUAAACCUUGUACCUUUUGCAUCAUGAUUUAGCCAGUACACCCAAGCAAAGAGACCUUUAGUUUGAAACCCCGAAACCAGGUGAGCUACCCCGAGACAGCCUAUUAAGGGCCAACCCGUCUCUGUGGCAAAAGAGUGGGAAGAGCUCCGGGUAGAAGUGACAGACCUACCGAACCUGGUGAUAGCUGGUUGCCUAAGAAAUGAAUAGAAGUUCAGCCUCGUACCCCCCCAAUCAAAAACACAAACAAGACACUAAGAGAAAUAUACGAGAGUUAGUUAAAGGGGGUACAGCCCCUUUAACAAAGGACACAACCUUUCCAGGAGGAUAAAGAUCAUAAUACAUAAAACAUACUGUUCUAGUGGGCCUAAAAGCAGCCACCUAAACAGAAAGCGUUAAAGCUCAGACAGAAAGAAGUUUAUUAUUCUGAUAAAAAAUCUUACUCCCCUAAAUACUAUUAGGCCAACCCAUGCCCACAUGGAAAAGACUAUGCUAAAAUGAGUAACAAGAAGGCCCGCCCUUCUCCAAGCACAAGUGUAAGCCAAACCGGACCAACCAUUGGCAACUAACGAACUCAACCCAAGAGAGCAAUGUGGGCUACAAAAAGACCAAGAAAAAACCACAACCAAACUAUCGUUAUCCCCACACUGGAGUGCUAUUUAAAGGAAAGACUAAAAGAAAAGGAAGGAACUCGGCAAACACAAGCCUCGCCUGUUUACCAAAAACAUCGCCUCCUGCAACACAACCAAGUAUAGGAGGUCCAGCCUGCCCAGUGACUACAAGUUCAACGGCCGCGGUAUUUUGACCGUGCAAAGGUAGCGCAAUCACUUGUCUUUUAAAUAGAGACCUGUAUGAAUGGCUAAACGAGGGCUUAACUGUCUCCCCUUUCAAGUCAGUGAAAUUGAUCUACCCGUGCAGAAGCG
Molecule: ribosomal RNA, 1110 nt
Filed under: Spinibarbichthys denticulatus
Lineage: Eukaryota; Metazoa; Chordata; Actinopteri; Cypriniformes; Cyprinidae
Description: Spinibarbus denticulatus partial 16S ribosomal RNA
Rfam family: Bacterial large subunit ribosomal RNA (bases 182-1091)
Source: RNAcentral